CCUACGGGUGACAGCAGUGAGGAAUAUUGGUCAAUGGACGAGAGUCUGAACCAGCCAAGUAGCGUGAAGGAUGACUGCCCUAUGGGUUGUAAACUUCGUUUAUAUGGGAAUAAAAUGUCCCACGUGUGGGAUUUUGUAUGUACCAUAUGAAUAAGGAUCGGCUAACUCCGUGCCAGCAGCCGCGGUAAUACGGAGGAUCCGAGCGUUAUCCGGAUUUAUUGGGUUUAAAGGGAGCGUAGGUGGAUUGUUAAGUCCGUUGUGAAAGUUUGCGGCUCCACCGUAAAAUUGCAGUUGAAACUGGCAGUCUUGAGUACAGUAGAGGUGGGCGGACUUCGUGGUGUAGCGGUGAAAUGCUUAGAUAUCACGAAGAACUCCGAUUGCGAAGGCAGUUCACUGGACUGCAACUGACACUGAGGCUCGAACGUGUGGGUAUCAAACAGGAUUAGAUACCCGAGUAGUC
This 460-nucleotide ribosomal RNA is filed under the name uncultured bacterium. Its description in RNAcentral is "partial 16S ribosomal RNA". It matches the Rfam family "Bacterial small subunit ribosomal RNA", at positions 338 to 795 of the family's 1533-position model. The record is from RNAcentral.